UUCUCGUUAGUAUAGUGGUGAGUAUCCCCACCUGUCAUGCAGGAGACCAGGGUUCGAUUCCCCGAUGGGGAG
Non-coding RNA from Rattus norvegicus (Norway rat), 72 nucleotides. The record is from Rfam. Lineage: Eukaryota; Metazoa; Chordata; Mammalia; Rodentia; Muridae.